GAAGAUCAGCAGCACACCAAAACAAUUCAGCAAUGGUGGCCGUGACAAAGUUGCAGCUCAUUUCAGUGCUGAGGAAAAGAAAACAAUUGUACUGGAGGGGGCAUGCAACUCAGCCCUUCUUACCUGCACAGAUGAUGGCCCUACAGCACAAUGAAACCUGGCUCAUAAUGGAGGGCAUAGCUGCAGGUGGCUCCACUGAACUGGUGGAUAACUGCAGGAUAACUGCAGCAGCUCUCAUAAACAGGGGGGCUGACCCACAUGAUGACCCACAGGAACCAGCUGGUGAUCACUCAUACUAGUAUCAUUGUAGUAUUGAGGAUUAAGUCAACGCUAAAACACCGCUGACCACAAUACUGUCUUUCAUAAGGAAAUGGAGGAAGAUGAGUACUGUGAUAACAGUGCCCUGAAAUUCAUAUCACACCAUGAGAUUAACAGGCAUUAAAAAUAAAAAAAGGUAGGGGGGUAACCAACUGGCUUUAGGUAUAAACUUAAAAGGACCAGUGUCUAAAAUUUAAUAUUUUGCUGUCAUACGUUUGAUAACUUUAAUUAUUAUUCUUUUUUAAAAUUUCUCGAUCAUAAAAGAUGAGCUAGUGUUUCUUCUUCAACAGCCAGGCCAUCAAACAAAUUGAGUCAUUGUAAAGGUAAUUAUUGAUUAAAUCACUAAUUUAUUGACUACUUUCAUUUAAAAAUUUUUUCCUAAUAACCACAAUAUUUGGGCUAAAUCAUAAUAAAGGAAUGGCACAGAUUUAAAAAUCGUCUAAUCCUGCAUCUUACUACCAUUGUCCUAAUUCUUUCAAGACAUUCUGCUCCUCUCUUAUAAUAAAUGCUAUUGUACAUCAGACAGCCUCUCUCUCUAGUCCAUAUAAACAAUUAGGGUCUCUCUGGAUACUUAGUGGAGAUAGUCAGUCAUUAGCUAGGUUUGCUCUGUACAGCUGAGGGAAAAUGAGAUGGCAAGUUGACCCUAACAAGAAAAAAUGUUUCGUCAAAAAAGCAGCAAUAUAAUUCACAGUUCAUCCAGUUACUUUUAUUCACGCUUGUAAUUGAUGUGAUUCAUCUCAGUGAGUAGAAACAGCUGGGCAGUAAUAAAACAUGACGCCUGCUGCUAAAA
Anguilla rostrata (American eel) is the source of this 1108-nucleotide long non-coding RNA. RefSeq lists it as uncharacterized. Lineage: Eukaryota; Metazoa; Chordata; Actinopteri; Anguilliformes; Anguillidae. The transcript is spliced from 3 exons. The record is from RefSeq and is a predicted model, not a curated record.